UUCCAAUUUUAGUGUAUGUGCUGUCAAAAUGAGAUUAGCAUGGUCCCUGCACAAGGAUGACCUGCAAAUCUGAAACAGUCCAUAUUUUU
This 89-nucleotide small nuclear RNA is filed under the name Ochotona princeps (American pika). Lineage: Eukaryota; Metazoa; Chordata; Mammalia; Lagomorpha; Ochotonidae. The record is from RNAcentral.